Molecule: small nuclear RNA, 96 nt
Filed under: Astyanax mexicanus (Mexican tetra)
Lineage: Eukaryota; Metazoa; Chordata; Actinopteri; Characiformes; Acestrorhamphidae
Description: U2 spliceosomal RNA (ENSAMXG00005000353.1)
Rfam family: U2 spliceosomal RNA
About the family: U2 is a small nuclear RNA (snRNA) component of the spliceosome (involved in pre-mRNA splicing).
Source: RNAcentral
AUCGCUUCUCGGCCUUUUGGCUAAGAUCAAGUGUAGUAUCUGUUCUUUUAAGAACGGUCUACGCUUGCCUAAAAGAGCAUGGCCGGGAGAGCGCCA